GGCCGCCUGGCGAAAUGGCAUCGCGUCUGACUACGAUACAAUUGAAUUUGUAAGGUAAUCAGGAGAUUGCAGGUUCGACCCCUGCGGUGGUCA
This is a non-coding RNA of Mycena albidolilacea, 93 nucleotides long. NCBI's taxonomy places the organism in Eukaryota, Fungi, Basidiomycota, Agaricomycetes, Agaricales, Mycenaceae. The record is from the annotation of a GenBank genome assembly.